ACGAACGCUGGCGGCGUGCUUAACACCUGCAAGUCGAACGGGCCUUGUCCCCUUUUUUUUUGGGGGUGGGGUUAGUGGCGAACGGGUGAGUAACACGUGAGUAACCUGCCCCUCACUUCUGGAUAACCGCUUGAAAGGGUGGCUAAUACGGGGUGUUCUGGCCUGCUCGCAUGGGUGGGUUUGGAAAGAUUCGACCGGUUUUGGUUGUUUUGGUGGGGGAUGGGCUCGCGGCCUAUCAGCUUGUUGGUGGGGUGAUGGCCUGCCAAGGCUUUGACGGGUAGCCGGCCUGAGAGGGUGGGCGGUCACACUGGGACUGAGACACGGCCCAGACUCCUACGGGAGGCAGCAGUGGGGAAUAUUGCACAAUGGGCGCAAGCCUGAUGCAGCGACGCCGCGUGAGGGAUGGAGGCCUUCGGGUUGUGAACCUCUUUCGCCAGUGAAGAAGGUCCUGCUCUUUGUGGUGGGGUUGACGGUAGCUGGGUUAAUGAAGCGCCGGCUAACUACGUG
RNAcentral lists this ribosomal RNA (507 nucleotides) under uncultured bacterium. Its description in RNAcentral is "partial 16S ribosomal RNA". It matches the Rfam family "Bacterial small subunit ribosomal RNA", at positions 29 to 507 of the family's 1533-position model. The record is from RNAcentral.